RNAcentral lists this ribosomal RNA (498 nucleotides) under uncultured bacterium. RNAcentral describes it as "partial 16S ribosomal RNA". It matches the Rfam family "Bacterial small subunit ribosomal RNA", at positions 30 to 523 of the family's 1533-position model. The record is from RNAcentral.
AUUGAACGCUGGCGGCAUGCCUUACACAUGCAAGUCGAACGGUAAUAGGUCUUCGGAUGGUGACGAGUGACUAACUGGUGAGUAAUACAUCGGUACGUGCAUAGUAGGUAGGGAUAAAUACUCUAAAGAUUGGCUAAUACCGCAUUAGAUCUAUGGAUUAAAGCAGGGGAUCGCAAGCCCUUUCGCUACUAGAGACGCCGAUGGCAGAUUAGGUAGUUGGUGGUGUAAAAGCUUACCAAGCCGACGAUCUGUAGCUGGUCUGGGUGGAUGAUCAGCCACACUGGGACUGAGACACGGCCCAGACUCCUACGGGAGGCAGCAGUGGGGAAUUUUGGACAAUGGGGGAAAGCCUGAUCCAGCAAGGCCGCGUGCAGGAUGAAGGCCUUCGGGGUGUAGGCUGAUUUUGUACGGAACGAAAAGCCCUGGGUUAAUACCCUAGGAUCUUGACGGUACCGUAAGAAUAAGCACCGGCUAACUACGUGCCAGCCGCCGCAGUAA